CGACGUGUCUACUAGUCCUUGGGUCCCCUUGAGGACCUAGUGACGCCAUGUCUAACGCAAUUAAGUAGACCGCCUGGCGAGUACCGUCCGCAAGGUUGAAACCUCUUAUAGUGUAUUUACCGGGGUCCCGCACAAUCGGUGGAGCAUGUGCGUUAAUUCGAUGCUACGCGAAGAACCUUACCUGGUCUUGACAUAUCUAGAAUCCUGCAGAGAUGCGGGAGUGCCUUCGGGAAUUAGAAGUACAGGUGCUGCAUGGCUGUCGUCAGCUCGUGUCGUGAGAUGUUGGGUUAAGUCCCGCAACGAGCGCAACCCUUUUCCUUAGUUACCACGGGUUAAGCCGGGAACUCUAAGGAUACUGCCAGUGACAAACUGGAGGAAGCGGGGACGACGUCAAGUCAUCAUGGCCCUUACGACCAGGGCUACACACGUGCUACAAUGGUAGGUACAGAGGGCAGCUACACAGCGAUGUGAUGCGAAUCUCAAAAAGCCUAUCGUAGUCCAGAUUGGAGUCUGCAACUCGACUCCAUGAAGUAGGAAUCGCUAGUAAUCGCGGAUCAGAAUGCCGCGGUGAAUACGUUCCCGGGCCUUGUACACACCGCCCGUCACACCAUGGGAGUUGAUUGCACCAGAAGUGGAUAGCCUAACCGUAAGGAAGGCGUUCACCACGGUGUGGUUGAUCGACCUGGGGUGAACCUCGUAACAAGUAGCCGUAGGGGAACCUCGGCUGGAUCCACCUCCUUAAGG
This 744-nucleotide ribosomal RNA is filed under the name uncultured bacterium. Its description in RNAcentral is "bacterial SSU rRNA". It matches the Rfam family "Bacterial small subunit ribosomal RNA", at positions 801 to 1533 of the family's 1533-position model. The record is from RNAcentral.